CCGAUCCCGGGCCUUGUACACACCGCCCGACACCCCAUCGGACUGGGAAGCAACACCCCGCCGUAGCCUAACCUACGGGAGGCCCCUUACCACGUUGUGAUACCUGACUGGGGUGAAGUCGUACCAAGGUAACCGCACGGGCACCUGCCGUUGGAUCACCUCCUUC
RNAcentral lists this ribosomal RNA (166 nucleotides) under Salmonella enterica subsp. enterica serovar Oslo. RNAcentral describes it as "partial 16S ribosomal RNA". It matches the Rfam family "Bacterial small subunit ribosomal RNA", at positions 1368 to 1533 of the family's 1533-position model. The record is from RNAcentral. Lineage: Bacteria; Pseudomonadati; Pseudomonadota; Gammaproteobacteria; Enterobacterales; Enterobacteriaceae.